UAGCAUAUUUGAGUCUGUGACCGUGGU
RNAcentral lists this non-coding RNA (27 nucleotides) under Homo sapiens (human). Lineage: Eukaryota; Metazoa; Chordata; Mammalia; Primates; Hominidae. The record is from RNAcentral.